GAUGAAGAACGCAGCGAAAUGCGAUAAGUAGUGUGAAUUGCAGAAUUCAGUGAAUCAUCGAAUCUUUGAACGCACAUUGCGCCCUUUGGUAUUCCUUAGGGCAUGCCUGUUCGAGCGUCAUUUAAACCUUCAAGCUCAGCUUGGUGAUGGGCGACUGUCCCCCCCCCUCGCGGGGGGGACUCGCCUCAAAAACAUUGGCGGCCGGUACAUUGGCUUCGAGCGCAGCAGAAACGCGGUCUCGAGCCCGGUGGAUCGGCUCCCAUAAGCCUAUUCUUUUAUUUUGACCUCGGAUCAGGUAGGGAUACCCGCUGAACUUAAGCAUAUCAAUAAGCGAGGA
Molecule: unclassified non-coding RNA, 337 nt
Filed under: soil metagenome
Description: partial contains 5.8S ribosomal RNA, internal transcribed spacer 2, and large subunit ribosomal RNA
Rfam family: 5.8S ribosomal RNA (bases 1-120)
Source: RNAcentral